This 798-nucleotide long non-coding RNA is filed under the name Homo sapiens (human). Its description in RNAcentral is "HSALNT0319325". Lineage: Eukaryota; Metazoa; Chordata; Mammalia; Primates; Hominidae. The record is from RNAcentral.
UGCAGGAUCUGGUGCAUAGUAGGUAUGCAAUACAUAGUAGGUAAACCAAAAAUGAAUGGAGGAUGCCAAAACUGGCCUCCAGUCCCUGGAUCCAAGAGGGAAGAUGGCUGAAACUGGCUCAAGAAUCUUUCAUCAGAGGUCACCACCAGCGCACCAUGAAGUCUGAUCCACUGACACCAACAUCCCCUUGAAAUCAGGCUCCCUUCCUCCGUUCUUUCAUUGCUAUCAUUCAGAGUUACCACUUUCUUUUAAUCACCAUGAAGAGGGAUCCCACGUCCUUUACCAGGCCAUGAACAAAAGGAAGCAGGCUGGUUUUGGCCUGCAGGGUAUAGUUCCUUGACCUCGGCUUCAUCCAAACACUCUAAUUUCAUCUCGUAUUUGUAUCCUUGGAGUGCCCAAUGCCAGCAAUACAGCCUACCCCUGGAAGAUGCCCAGUAUUGACCAUUUGAAUUUGAUAAAAGAGAUCCAGAACUCAAAGAUCCUUGAUGCUUUUUAUCAAUUCCACUAAACGUCAAGGACAGGAAAUAAAAACAUUUUUCUCUUCCGACUCAAACACAAUACCCCUUUGUGAAGCUGCUAAAAAUCUAGAAAUGGCAAAUCUGGGAAAAUUUUCAGGUGAGCGAUAGGCAUCAAAAUAUUUCAUUUUUGCUAAAAAUAUCUCUUAAGUUUUUCUUAGCAUUCCAACUCACAUCACACUGAAUUUGAGUACAAAGAACAGAAUCUGUUUUACCCUUGUAUUGGCAGUGACUUUGAGGUUAUACAAAGGAGUCAAAGUAGCCUGUCCUAUGACACUGAAGU